This 253-nucleotide ribosomal RNA is filed under the name uncultured bacterium. RNAcentral's name for it is "partial 16S ribosomal RNA". It matches the Rfam family "Bacterial small subunit ribosomal RNA", at positions 524 to 776 of the family's 1533-position model. The record is from RNAcentral.
UACGGAGGGUGCAAGCGUUAUCCGGAUUCACUGGGUUUAAAGGGUGCGUAGGUGGGCAGGUAAGUCAGUGGUGAAAUCCCCAAGCCUAACUUGGGAACUGCCAUUGAUACUAUUUGUCUUGAAUACCGUGGAGGUGAGCGGAAUAUGUCAUGUAGCGGUGAAAUGCUUAGAUAUGACAUAGAACACCAAUUGCGAAGGCAGCUUGCUACGCGGAUAUUGACACUGAUGCACGAAAGCGUGGGGAUCAAACAGG